This 646-nucleotide long non-coding RNA is filed under the name Androctonus crassicauda. Lineage: Eukaryota; Metazoa; Arthropoda; Arachnida; Scorpiones; Buthidae. The record is from RNAcentral.
GACAACUUUAAUUAUAAAUUACAGUUAAAAAGAUAAUAUUAAAUUAAGUAAAAUAGUAAUGUAUUAGUAUACAAAAUGUUGUAUUUGAAAAAAAUCUGGCAUUUUUUGGUUGAAAAAGUGAAAAAACAAAAAAAAAUAACACCUUAGUCUUUUUAAUUUUUACAUGACAAGAUUUUUCAAAUUAUAAAAUUAAAUUAAAUGUUCAAACAGUCCACUGUACAUUACAACACAGUAACUUAACCUAUUUAAACGGAUAUCUGCACAUGAGAAAGUUGAGUGUAAAUGAUGUUUUGAUAUCAUCUUUCAAUUGCUAUUUCUAACUCCUGGAUGUUAGGAAAAGGCUUAGGGCCAUAAAUUGAUGAUUUUAUGUGGUCCCUGAGGGAAAAGUCACAAAGACUCAAAUCUAGAGAUUGUAGUGGCCAAACCAGGUCUCUGUUGAAUGUAAAUACAUUCCUGAGAAAACAAUUUCUUAGGCAUUCUCUUAAGCCAUGGUCACACUGUGCAAUUUUUCGUCGCGCGCGUCACUGCAACACCAACGGCAACGAGUUGCACUUGUCAAAUAGUGGUCACACUGGGAAAUGUAGCUUGUGACACAAUGGAUAGUCAGCCAAUGAGAGCACAAUAAAAUCAUCCAAUGAAGUUGUAG